Leucoraja erinaceus (little skate) is the source of this 5475-nucleotide long non-coding RNA. RefSeq lists it as uncharacterized. The record is from RefSeq and is a predicted model, not a curated record. Lineage: Eukaryota; Metazoa; Chordata; Chondrichthyes; Rajiformes; Rajidae. The transcript has 3 exons.
GUUACCCAAUUGUAGCUAAUUUCAAACUUCAAUUACUAGAUCUAAACAUCUAUCCAUUUCUUAUUAAAUGAUUAACAUUUUUAAAUAGCCCAAGUGUCCAAAUAAUAUUCACAAAUAAUUCACAAUAAAACAUGAUUUUUAAAUCUCAUUUACAUCAAUUUAGAGGCCAAAUGGAAGGAAUUUAGUGUUCAAUUGCUGUAAAUUAAAGUCAAUUUAAAUCAGCUUUCUAGUGGGUUCCUGUGAACGCGCUGGUUUAGAACGUUCACAUUGCGCUGGAUUUGUGCCCUCAAGUGCCCAGAAAAAUACUGCGGGAUAUAAAGAGCCCAAAAUGAACUACUCGCUAUAGAAAACUUUAAUAACAGGGUUAUAUACAAGCCCCAUUUAAUGUAAAAAUAAGGUACAUACCUUUAAUUGUUUGCUUUAUAAAACCCUGGGGCUGCGAGAGGUUGCGGGUUGAGAGAGUGAUGUUUAAACUACUAUAACUAUUAUACAAGGCCAUAAAAACUAAUAAUACCUUUUGCGACGGGGUCUUUCAGCGAUUUUCCGUUAAUGAUUUACCAGGCUGAACAUUUUCGAUUGCAACAUCCUAGUAAAAAUCGCGUUUUAAACCCGCCCCCUCUAAACAGCGCCAAAAUCGCGCACACGGGGUAGGGCAGAUGCUCAGCCACGAUUCAGGUAGGUUUUGUAACAUACCUACUUCUACAAUACAUAUAAUUUGAUCCCAUCAUCACUGCAUUAUCUCACAAGACAUUUGCCUGCUUCAUAAUCGUUGGGUUUACAUUUCCUUAUUUUUACAGAUUUGACAAAUACUUAGCUGCAUUGAAACAUCCCCCCAGGAAUAAUAUUUAAAAAUGAGUCCAGCCUAGAAUAAAAACAAUAGUUGACAUCGUUAGCCACGAUUGUAUGCCAAUAAUUACAUUUCAGUAUUUGAUGGUCAGAUCCACCAUGAAACACUUUCAUCAUCCAACCUCUGUUUCAUUUACCCCCAACAGCUACUCCCCUUUCUGUGGCCCCUUACCAUGAAGGCACUCCUUCCCAUUUCAGAUACUUUUUCCUCGUGAAAUAUCAAUUUGGCAGGGGCUACGGACUAUAACCAACUACCAGAGCAGCCCCCCCCAACCGGAAGUGCCGGCACCUCCCUAGCUGACGACCUGAACUUUUUCCACGCUCGUUUCGAGACGGGCAACAUCACCCCAGGCUUGCCGGCUAACGACAACACCGCCAGCGCGCUGGCUAGCGAGGCUGGAGGGAGGGCCACCGCUGGGGAUGGAUACACACUCUCGUUGUCCGAGCACGACGUGAAAAGGACUCUGACACGUGUGACACGAGGAAAGCUGUAGGCCCAGAUGACAUCUCUGGGUGAGUACUAAAGUCUUGUGCUAUGCAGCUAGCUCCGGUGCUCACUACAAUAUUCAACCUCUCCCUGGCCAAGUCCGUGGUCCCUGCCUGUUUCAAAAGAUCCAUCAUUGUACCUGUACCAAAGAAUGCCUCUCCAGCUUGUCUGAAUGACUACCGUCCGGUGGCCCUCACCUCGGUAGUCAUGAAAUGCUUUGAGAGGCUGGUCAAGAAACACAUCUGCGCCUUCCUCCUCGCAACAUGGACUGCUACAAUUCGCAUAUCGUCCGAACAGAUCCACGGACGAUGCAGUUUCCCAGGUUCUGCACACCGCUCUCUCUCACCUUGACAGCCAGAAGGGGGGCUAUGUGAGGAUGCUGUUCGUAGACUUCAGUUCAGUCUUCAACAGGAUAGCCCUCUAGCGGGAAGAGGUGGUUGAUCUGGCACUCUGGUGUCAGGACAACAGCCUCCUCUUGAAUGUCAAAAAAACUAAGAAGCUGAUCGUGGACUUUAGGAGGGCACAACAUCCGAGGAUGUACACCACUGAAGAUAAAUGGGGAUACUGUGGAUAGGUUGAGCUGCUUUAAAUACCUGGGAGUCCACAUCUCAGAGGAUCUGACAUGGACAUCACACGCUGCCGCACUGGUGAGUAAGGCAAGGCAGCGCCUUUACCACCUCAGGCAAUUGAGGAAAUUCAGAGUGUCUCUGAGGAUCCUCCAGUGCAUCUACUCAGCGACUGUGGAAAGCAUCUUGUCUGGAAACAUCACAAUUUGGUUUGCGAACUGCUCUGCCCAGGACAAGUAGGCUCUGGAGAGAGGAGUGCGUUCGGCCGAAUGCACUAUGGGAACUACACUCGCCCCCAUGCAGGAACUAUACAUCUACUUUAAUUGUCAUUGUCAGUGUACAGUACAGAGACAACAAAAUGCAUUUAGCAUCUCCCUGGAAGAGCGACAUAGAAUAUGAUUUGAAUAAAUAUUUACAUUAGCAUAUAUACAGACAUAGUGUUUUUCCUGUGGGAGGAGUGUCCGGGGGGGGGGGGGGGGGGGGUGAUUGGCAGUCACCGAGGUACGUUGUUGAGUAGAGUGACAGCCGCCAGGGAGAAGCUGUUCCUGGACCUGCUGGUCCGGCAACGGAGAGACCUGUAGCGCCUCCCGGAUGGUAGGAGGGUAAACAGUCCAUAGUUGGGGUGAGCGCAGUCCUUGGCGAUGCUGAGCGCCCUCCGCAAACAACGCUUGCUUUGGACAGACUCAAUGGAGGGGAGCGAGGAACCGGUGAUGCGUUGGGCAAUUUUCACCACCCUCUGCAAGGCCUUCCGGUCGGAGACAGAGCAGUUGCCAUACCAUACUGUGAUACAGUUGGUAAGGAUGCUCUCGAUGGUGCAGCAGUAGAAGUUCACCAGGAUCUGAGGAGACAGAUGGACCUUCUUCAGUCUCCUCAGGAAGAAGAGAUGCUGGUGAGCGUGCAGAUCCAGAGCUAGCAACAUUAUGGGGGACCCCUUCCACCCCAGCAACAGACUGUUCUAGCUGCUACGGUCAGGCAAACACCUCCGUUGCUAUGCUGUGAAAACAGAGAGGAUAAGAAGGAGUUUCGUCCCAGUGGCCAUUAGGACUGUAAACUCCUAUCUCACCAGAGACUAACUUACUGUACCAAUUUACUGCUGUGUGGUGUAUUUUUAAAAUUGCUGUUUUUUCUUUUUUUCCCCACAAAUAUGUAAUUACUGAUUCUGUUCCAUACUGUUUUGUUGUUUUUUGGAGAAUCCGCAAGCAUUGCCACUUUUCAUUUCACUGCACAUCUCAAUCAUGCGUAUGUGACGAAUAAACUUGACUUGACUUGAAUUUAGUACACUCAAUAUUGUGGACAAAUCAUAAAUGUGUGACUUCUUUGCUAAAUUGACAUUAUGACCCUGAAAUGUAAUUCCUAUCCCUAUUUGUUUUACCUUUGUUUAAGUAAUAAUAAUCUGAGAAAUUAUAGGCCGGUGAGCAUCAAAUUAGUAGUAGGGAAGCUAUCGAGAGAGGGUGGGAGGCAGGGUGGUUUUGUGGAAACCGCAGUAUGUCACAGGUUAGCAUAGCAGUACAGCACAAUAAUAAUAACUUUAUUUAUAAAGCGCUUUUAGACAACAUCAGUUACCACAAAGUGCUGUACAUGGGAAGUCAACAAAAAGUUAUUACAAACUACUAAAACCAUUAAGACGACAGGACUAUAAAAACAGUAAAAAUUAAAAGACAUUAAAAGCACUAAAACAGGAACAAAGUCUCAGCCAGUGUCGAAAGCCAGUGAAUAAAAGUGAGUUUUUAGGGAGGAUUUAAAGAUGGACAGUGAAGGGGCCUGUCUGAUCUGCAGCGGCAAGGUGUUCCAGAGUGCCGGGGCAGCAACAGAAAAGGCUCUAUCCCCUCUGAGCUUCCGCUUAGACCUUGGUACCUCAAGGAGCAGCUGAUCCGCUGACCUGAGGCACCGGGCAGGAGCAUAUAGGUGGAGCAGCUCAGAGAGGUAAGGCGGGGCGAGGCCAUUCAAUGAUUUAAAAACAAAUAAAAUAAUUUUAAAAUGAAUUCAAAAGUGCACUGGGAGCCAGUGAAGGGAGGCCAAAAUUGGCGUAAUGUGCUCCCUCUUUCGAGUUCCGGUUAAAAGGCGAGCGGCAGCAUUUUGGACCAACUGGAGACCUUUAUCCAUUCCUUGAUGCACACCACAAUGUACCUGAUAGGUAUUCCUUGACGUACACUUCAAGGUUUUUGAUAGUUAUCCUUACUCAAAUUAAAUAAAGGAUUAAAUAACAUGUGGUUUUACUUGCAUUAGUGUUAUUGCAUUUGUAUUAGUGUUUUGAGAACGUAGUUAAUAAUGAUCAGAAAUUAUAAAGUGCGCACAAUUUCUCGGGUCAAAAUCUAUAUAAAAAGUUGACCUUCCGAGUGGGAUUCAGAGUGGUAUGGUAAUUGGGACUGCGCUGUUCUCCUUGUACACAAGUAAAUAAAGUGUCUGGGAAAUGAAUGCAAGUUGUUAGAGUCCAGUUGAUCAGCGACGACAGUUUAUAGUUAUAUAAAACUGGAGAAUGCAAUAUCAAUACCCAUGGGUUGUAAGCUACCAAAGUGGAAUUUGAGGUGUUGUCUCUCCAGUUAGCCUGUGGCCUCACUCUGGCAAUGGAGGCCCAGGACAGAAAGCGCAGUAUGGGAAGACGAGUUAAAAUAGUUAGCAAUUGGGAGAUCCUUUACACCUUGGCAGACCAAGGUCAGGUUAACGGCGAAAUAGUCACCGAGUCUAAGCUUGGUCUUCUUAAUGUACAGGAAGCCGCAUCGGAAACACCAAUUGUAGUUGAUGACCUUGGAGGAGGUGCAUGUGAACUUCUGUCUCACCUGGAAAGAAUGCUUGGGUCCCUGGAUAGAGAUUCGGGAUCCCAUUGUGACGCCAUUGUGACGUUGAACGCUGCUGAUGGGCAUGGAUGAGGCAGAAAACUGAAGCUCCCGAGGGAAUCCCACACAGUUAGAGGGAGAUUGUGCAGCUUCCACACAGACGAUGGUUCCACACAGACAGCACCAGAUGUCAGGAAUUAACACAGAUCACUAGAGAUGUGAAGUAUUUAUACCAGGUGCACCUCUUAGCUAUCCUGAAAUUUUACUGUGCAAAGCCUUCCAAUCAAAAUUCUGGGCUAAAAGGAUAGAUUUGCUCAUGCAAUCUGCAAAAUGCACAUUGAAUUAAUUCAAAAGUGGUAUUUGCAAAAAAAUGUUUUUGCCAAGUUUGAGAUAUAGAAUAGCAAGUCUCCAGAAGGUGGUGUUAAUAUGUUUUAUAAUGAAAUUCCUCCUACGUUGCAGGAGAUUUUUUUAAUACCUAGGGGAAUUAUUUUACUUAGUGCUCCAGUUAAAUGAUAAAGCAGUUAACUUUCCUCCUAUUUUUAUAGCAUGUUGACAGGGAACCAAUUUAUUCAGAAAUGCUCUUAAUUAACAAGCAGGCAGUUAGAAAAACCUUCAAUAAUGUUGUUAAAUCAUUUGUUAACAAUACUGUCAGCCACAAAAAAUACGAGUUAAUAGAAUCAUGCUUUUUAUAUGGAACAAGGUGUGCAAGUGUGCAUGUUGGGAACUUCGAAUUCCUUCUUCCCAUUCUGAUAUUACUGUAAAUUUGGAAGAUUAUCCCCAAUAAAUGAUUAAGAAUGAAAAA